RNAcentral lists this transfer RNA (71 nucleotides) under Loxodonta africana (African savanna elephant). It matches the Rfam family "tRNA". From Rfam's summary of the family: Transfer RNA (tRNA) molecules are approximately 80 nucleotides in length. Their secondary structure includes four short double-helical elements and three loops (D, anti-codon, and T loops). Lineage: Eukaryota; Metazoa; Chordata; Mammalia; Proboscidea; Elephantidae. The record is from Rfam by way of RNAcentral.
GCGCUGGUGGUUCAGCGGUAGACUUACUGCCUUCUAUGUGGGAGACCCAGGUUCGUUUCCUGGUCAACGCA